This 496-nucleotide ribosomal RNA is filed under the name uncultured bacterium. RNAcentral describes it as "partial 16S ribosomal RNA". It matches the Rfam family "Bacterial small subunit ribosomal RNA", at positions 30 to 523 of the family's 1533-position model. The record is from RNAcentral.
AUUGAACGCUGGCGGAAUGCUUUACACAUGCAAGUCGAACGGUAGAGGGGGCAACCCCUCGAGAGUGGCGAACGGGUGAGUAAUAUAUCGGAACGUGCCCAGUCGUGGGGGAUAACGUAGCGAAAGUUACGCUAAUACCGCAUACGAUCUCAGGAUGAAAGCGGGGGAUCGCAAGACCUCGCGCGAUUGGAGCGGCCGAUAUCAGAUUAGGUAGUUGGUGGGGUAAAGGCUCACCAAGCCAACGAUCUGUAGCUGGUCUGAGAGGACGACCAGCCACACUGGAACUGAGACACGGUCCAGACUCCUACGGGAGGCAGCAGUGGGGAAUUUUGGACAAUGGACGCAAGUCUGAUCCAGCCAUUCCGCGUGCGGGAUGAAGGCCCUCGGGUUGUAAACUGCUUUUGUACGGAACGAAAAGGUCUCUCUUAAUACGGGGGACUCAUGACGGUACCGUAAGAAUAAGCACCGGCUAACUACGUGCCAGCCGCCGCCGUAA